GAUGAACGGUGGCGGCGUGCCUAACACAUGCAAGUCGAGCGAUCUCUUCGGAGAGAGCGGCGGACGGGUGAGUAACGCGUGGGUAACCUGCCCUGUACACACGGAUAACAUACCGAAAGGUAUGCUAAUACGGGAUAAUAUAUAAAAGUCGCAUGGCUUUUAUAUCAAAGCUUUUGCGGUACAGGAUGGACCCGCGUCUGAUUAGCUAGUCGGUAAGGUAACGGCUUACCAAGGCGACGAUCAGUAGCCGACCUGAGAGGGUGAUCGGCCACACUGGAACUGAGACACGGUCCAGACUCCUACGGGAGGCAGCAGUGGGGAAUAUUGCACAAUGGGCGAAAGCCUGAUGCAGCAACGCCGCGUGAGCGAUGAAGGCCUUCGGGUCGUAAAGCUCUGUCCUCAAGGAAGAUAAUGACGGUACUUGAGGAGGAAGCCCCGGCUAACUACGUGCCAGCCGCCGCGGUAA
This 466-nucleotide ribosomal RNA is filed under the name uncultured bacterium. RNAcentral describes it as "partial 16S ribosomal RNA". It matches the Rfam family "Bacterial small subunit ribosomal RNA", at positions 28 to 523 of the family's 1533-position model. The record is from RNAcentral.